GGUUGUAGCUCAGUGGUAGAGCGCUUGCCUAGGAUGUGUGAGGCCCUAGGUUCAAUACCUAGCACCA
RNAcentral lists this transfer RNA (67 nucleotides) under Marmota monax (woodchuck). Its description in RNAcentral is "tRNA.Pro". It matches the Rfam family "tRNA". Rfam says of the family: Transfer RNA (tRNA) molecules are approximately 80 nucleotides in length. The record is from RNAcentral. Lineage: Eukaryota; Metazoa; Chordata; Mammalia; Rodentia; Sciuridae.